This 930-nucleotide ribosomal RNA is filed under the name uncultured bacterium. RNAcentral describes it as "bacterial SSU rRNA". It matches the Rfam family "Bacterial small subunit ribosomal RNA", at positions 8 to 912 of the family's 1533-position model. The record is from RNAcentral.
AGAGUUUGAUCAUGGCUCAGAACAAACGCUGGCGGCGUGCCUAACACAUGCAAGUCGUACGAGAAAGUCGGCUUCGGCCGAUGAGUACAGUGGCGCACGGGUGAGUAGCGCGUGGGUAAUCUGCCCCUCGGUCAGGAAUAACCCGCCGAAAGGCGGGCUAAUACCCGAUAACACUGACGCUCUGCGGAGCGUCUUUCAAAGAAGGCCUCUGUUUACAAGCUUUCGCCGGAGGAUGAGCCCGCGUACCAUUAGCUAGUUGGCAGGGUAAUGGCCUACCAAGGCAACGAUGGUUAGCUGGUCUGAGAGGAUGGCCAGCCACACUGGAACUGAGACACGGUCCAGACUCCUACGGGAGGCAGCAGUGAGGAAUCUUGCGCAAUGGGGGAAACCCUGACGCAGCAACGCCGCGUGAGUGAGGAAGGCUUUCGGGUCGUAAAGCUCUGUCAGAUGGGAAGAAAUGGAUGGGAGCUAAUACUUUUCAUUCUUGACGGUACCAUCAGAGGAAGCACCGGCUAACUCCGUGCCAGCAGCCGCGGUAAUACGGGGGGUGCAAGCGUUGUUCGGAAUCAUUGGGCGUAAAGCGCGCGCAGGCGGCUUGGUAAGUCAGAUGUGAAAUCUCUGGGCUUAACUCAGGAAGUGCAUUUGAUACUGUCUCGCUAGAGUACGGGAGAGGAAAGUGGAAUUUCUGGUGUAGAGGUGAAAUUCGUAGAUAUCAAGAGGAACACUGGUGGCGAAGGCGACUUUCUGGCUCGAUACUGACGCUCAGGCGCGAAAGCGUGGGGAGCAAACAGGAUUAGAUACCCUGAUAGUCCACGCUGUAAACGAUGUUCACUAGGUGUUGGGGGUAUUGACUCUUCUCAGUGCCGUAGCUAACGCAUUAAGUGAACCGUCUGGGAAGUACGGUCGCAAGACUAAAACUCUAAGGAAUUG